CUGUUGUUCUGCUUUUCUUUUUUCCCACUGGAGGAUACUCUCUGAAGUGUUACUCGUGCUUAUCUGCUCAGGGGGGUUCCUGUAAAGCAGAAGUGGAGAUAUGUGGAGAUGGAUUUUCCAAAUGUGAAAGCAAAACAGUAGAACAAUCCAUUGGUGGUUUCGCUAAGGUGUCUAUCACAACUAAACAGUGUGCACUUAGAUGUGAAGCUGGGACCCAACAGCUAAUAACUGGAGGGACUGUAACUACCCACUGCUGUGAAACUGACCUCUGCAAUGCAGCAGGUGGCGUGUAUAAGGGAAGCUUCCUCCUUCUGUUGUCUCCUCUGCUCUUCUACUUCCUGUUUCAUUGAGUCCAGCCGCACUUCAGAUUCUACAGCUGCAGCAGAAACUGAAUGUUACACAUUUCUAGUCAUACUUUAUUAAUAAAGCUUGUUUUGUUGUUCUGCUGUUCUUUGGUAUCAUGAUCUGAGGAACGGAAAAUCUGUAUUUUAUUUUAAAAAUUAACCAAAAUAAUAAAUACAAUAAUAAAUGUUCUACUGUUCUUCGGUAUCAUGAUUUAAGGAACAGAUCAUCUGUACUUUAUUAAAUAAAUGUUAAAUAAAAUACUGCACCAACACUGUAACAGACAAAUAAUUAUUCAAAAAAGUUGGGAAAUUUUGUAGUAAUGAGUUUGCAAUAUCUGUAGUAACUUUUUAGAGUAAGAAUAUUCCUGAGAUUCAGUAAUAUUUCAGCCCUCCAGAUUUUUUAAAGUAGUGGUUCACCAAAAAUGAAAUGUUACUAUUGUGAUGAGAAGAGCUGCUCAAACAUAUUGAGCUGUUCAGGGAGUGAAGACCGCUGCUUUAAAGCAACAGGUGAGAAAAGGCUGCAUCUCUAAAUCUAUCUGUGAAGCCACAACAUCAGUUGGUGAUGUUGAAGGCAUCACAUGUUGUUCAGGGAACCUGUGUUGAGAGCACCACUCAGAGCUUCCUGUUCCUCUGCUGUUCUCUGCUCUCCUUCAUCCUGCUGCACUGAAUCCAGCAGCUCUUCACGUUCUACAAUCAGACACACUGUACUGAAUACAUAGUAUUUUCUGUACUAUGUAUCUUUAGUGUCCGAU
RNAcentral lists this long non-coding RNA (1096 nucleotides) under Sinocyclocheilus anshuiensis. RNAcentral describes it as "lncRNA (ENSSANG00000035352.1)". The record is from RNAcentral. Lineage: Eukaryota; Metazoa; Chordata; Actinopteri; Cypriniformes; Cyprinidae.